This 99-nucleotide ribosomal RNA is filed under the name Prevotella sp. The record is from RNAcentral. Lineage: Bacteria; Pseudomonadati; Bacteroidota; Bacteroidia; Bacteroidales; Prevotellaceae.
CGGCGGGGUCCCACCUCUUCCCAUUCCGAACAGAGAAGUUAAGCCCGCCUGCGCCGAUGGUACUGCAAUGCAAUGCGGGAGAGUAGGAGGCCGCCAUUU